Molecule: long non-coding RNA, 241 nt
Filed under: Lathyrus oleraceus (garden pea)
Lineage: Eukaryota; Viridiplantae; Streptophyta; Magnoliopsida; Fabales; Fabaceae
Description: Pisum sativum (pea) long non-coding RNA (PSAT_LNC024693)
Source: RNAcentral
UUUUUUUAUUUUUUUUUUACCUUUGAGACAAACUAAAAAUUUAUGAUUCUAUUAAAUGAUAAAUUUUUAGGAUUUAUUUGAUAGUUGAUUUAUUUAAUUAUAUUUAUAUAUACUUAUUUGAAGUUGCUUUUAUAUUUAUUUUAAGUUAUAGAAGUAAUAAAGUACUCGUUCAAAGCCAUAGAGUUAUGAAUUUAUGCAUUUUUUAAAAAAUAAAAUAAAACACAAUUUACGUAAACGUAAG